GAUGAACGCUAGCGGCAGGCUUAAUACAUGCAAGACGAACGGUAAGUGUUGUAGCAAUAUAGCACGAGAGUGUCGUACGGGUGCGUAACACGUAUGCAACCUACCUUGUACAGGAGGAUAGCUCGGGGAAACUCGAAUUAACCCUCCAUAAUAUAUUUGAAUGGCAUCAUUUGAAUAUUAAAACCUUGGUGGUACAAGAUGGGCAUGCGUCUGAUUAGUUAGUUGGAGUGUAAUGGACUACCAAGACGAUGAUCAGUAGGGGACCUGAGAGGGUGAU
This 277-nucleotide ribosomal RNA is filed under the name uncultured bacterium. RNAcentral describes it as "partial 16S ribosomal RNA". It matches the Rfam family "Bacterial small subunit ribosomal RNA", at positions 28 to 304 of the family's 1533-position model. The record is from RNAcentral.